AUUGAACGCUGGCGGCAUGCUUUACACAUGCAAGUCGAGCGGCAGCGCGGGGGCAACCCUGGCGGCGAGCGGCGAACGGGUGAGUAAUAGAUAGGAACGUAUCCGGGAGUGGGGAUAACUAGCCGAAAGGUUAGCUAAUACCGCAUAUUCUCUGAGGAGGAAAGCGGGGGACUCGCAAGAGCCUCGCGCUCGCGGAGUGGCCUAUCUCCGAUUAGCUAGUUGGGAGGUAAAGGCUCACCAAGGCGACGAUCGGUAGCUGGUCUGAGAGGAUGAUCAGCCACACUGGGACUGAGACA
Molecule: ribosomal RNA, 296 nt
Filed under: uncultured bacterium
Lineage: Bacteria
Description: partial 16S ribosomal RNA
Rfam family: Bacterial small subunit ribosomal RNA
Source: RNAcentral